This is a long non-coding RNA of Brachypodium distachyon (stiff brome), 3709 nucleotides long. RefSeq lists it as uncharacterized. The transcript is spliced from 2 exons. The record is from RefSeq and is a predicted model, not a curated record. Lineage: Eukaryota; Viridiplantae; Streptophyta; Magnoliopsida; Poales; Poaceae.
UUCCGGCCGCCUCUUUCUUCUUGCGUUUUCUUUCUUCCCUUCUUUCUUUCAGAAGGGGCGUCCUCUUCCGAUUCCUCGCUCGCGGCUGCUAUCCCUGUUCUCGCCGCCCGUCCUGGGGUGCGCUGCUGCCCCCACUGGCCGCUGGUCUUUUCCCUCGAUUUGCCGGUGUGCGCUGCAGGUUCGUUCCCCUUUUCGCCUCUUGGUGUGCUCCUCCGCUGGGGCAGUGGCUUGGGCUGCUGCGCGCCGUUCUUUCGGAGGGCCCAGUGCUUGCUGGAUGGCGGUCCGUGAUGCCCCCUCGAUGGGCUCUUUUUUGUGUGUGAUUCUGGUUGGAGUUUGCCCUGCGUGGCUCUGUCCGUUCUGAUUCAGGUUGUGUUGGUGGGGGCUGUCCGUCCGUUGUAGUCGCCUCAGUCUGUCCGUGCGCUUCCUCUGUUGAUUGCUGCCCGUGAGGUUCGUGCUUCUGCCUUUAUCUAAUUUCUGCAGUUGGGCCGUUCUGAAGUUUGUUGUGCGGUGCGCUGUGAUUUUUGUUCUCUUUUGUCGAUGUACAUUCACGAGCUCAAGGGCGCAAAGGAUCCAGAGGAAGAACAGUUGCUGAAGGCCAAUAUCCUAGGACAAGAUGCAUAGCAGCAGUGGAUAAAGCUUCAGUUUGGGGUCGACAAGCCUUCGUCUUCCAUCGACUGCCUGUCAAUCAACCAUUCGCUCGAGUGCUGUAAAAUGAGUGAAUUCCUUUUUUACCCCCUACUUUCACUUCUUUGACGCAAAUUACCCCAUUUAGUGAGAUUUCUACAAUUUUACCCCAUUCUUAUUAACCCAGCUAAUAAUUUCCACUGUUUUAUCCGAAUUAUGACAACUUGGUUCCGCACGUCAUAGGCGUUCCUAGGUAUCUGUCGUGCGAUGAUAUGAAACGGAUGCCCUUGAGACGCAAUUGGCGCCGGAACCCGACUGGUUCAGCUGAUGCUGCUCGCAGGCAGCCAUGGCCACCUCCCGCUGCAGCUGCAGCUCGGUAGCCGCCUGCAUGCACGUAGAGGACAGCAGCAGGAGGAAGCGUGGUAGAGGCUGGGAGGCCAUGUGCAUGCCGUCCAGGUUGCUUCUAAUUCUAAAUAGGGGGAUUUGCGUGAGCAUAUACACCACUCGAAGGAAGUCGUAACAGGGGGAAAAACAUUGCACACUACUAUGCUCUCCACUAAAUGGAUAUGCAUCUUGUUGAUGAGUUCUACUCCUACUUUAGCUAAGUUGUACCAGCGGACAAAGUAAUUGGAGAUAGAGCAGGCAGCUGUAGCGGGAGGUGGCCAUGGCCGCCCGCGAGCGGUGCCGAGUCAGGCUGCCUCACCAAGCGUGGGCUCAAGGGCCUCCACAGUUCAUCAACCACACGAUGGAUGCCUAGGAAUGUCACUAACGUGUAGGCCCAAACUGUCAUGACGAGGAAAACAGGAAAAAAAAUUAGAUGGGGUAAAAAGUGGCAAAAGUUUCACUAAAUGGGGCAAUUCGUGUCACAAAAAUUAAACUAGGGGGUAAAGAAAAGAAUUUACUCUUAGAACAGAUAUAAUGACUGGUCUUGCUUGGUUUUUCGUGAGUUGGCUACAUAUCUUUUAAUCUAAGAUAAGAGAUAUGGGAUUUUUGCAUGGACACAAUUGUGAGUUAAUAUUAGUGGUAUUCUGCAUGCAGAGUAUGCUCUCCACAACCUGAUUGUUUUUUGUUUUCUCUUAUUGACAAUGGUUUGCAUAAUUCUUGGUCAGACACCAGCGGCCAUAGGGCGCUGACGGCCGCUACCAGCAAAGUCCACCUCUUCUUACCAAGCGCAUGUUGAUUUGUGAGACUGCGAUGUGCCUAUCUUGCUUGUUCUUAGCUUUCAGCAGUCACACCAUCAGGUUUGGUCAUGCUUGCCCUCCAUCUUAGAUGUGUAUGCAGAUAAGUUGCUUGAUGAAUUUACCAGGAGAAAAGUGUCCUCUCUUUUUCCAUUCACUGCUACAACAUAGCAUCGACUUUCACGGAGUGAGCUCUAAAAGGAGUUGCUAGGCUACUACCUCUGACAGGCAAUUUGUGUAUCUUAUGAACUUUUGGUUGUUUAGGCAGCAGGCAUCCAGACUCCACUAGAUUUGCCUCGAUGCUACAGGCGCUGAUGUUCUGAACUUUUGAUUAAAUUUGUGAUUGAUUAGAUGGUGAUGAAAUAAAGUUCUGAACUUUUGAUUAAAUUUGUGAUUGAUUAGAUGGAGAUGAAAUUAGUGAUUUGUAAGACUCUUAUAACUUCGUAAUAAAAUAUGGUUGUGUGCAUCGCUUGAUGCUUGAUGCAGAGGCCGGGAACUCUUCCCCUUUUCGAAAAAAGAAAAAAAAAGAUGGAGAUGAAAUAAACCAGUCCUAGACAAGAGUUGUAAACGUAGGUAAACAUGCUAUGUUUCUUUAACUAGCAUGGUACUAAUUUUUUGUGCAAAUUAAGUAGUACAGAUAUAAAUAUAUUAUCCUAUAAUUUUUAAGUGCAUUUUGCUUGUACCUUCCCUUACAGUGUCUUCUGUUCUGCCAGAGCCUUCUUAAUUUGACAUGCUAAAACUAUUAUUAUUAGCAUGAACGCUGAUUUUUGGAGCAUGUUUUCAUGGAUGAUUAAUAAUGUUUUUCCUGCAAGUAUGCAAACAAGAAGUUAAAAACGUAAAAUGGAGAGGUGGUGCUCCAUUAUUUGGAGUAAGAUUUUGUCUGUACAGACAUACUUUAUUCAAUUAGCUAUUUUUAGCCACAUAUUAUGGCCAUUAGUUAAAUUAGUAUUUCUUGCAAGGAGAUCUAGAAAUUCCACUUGAUUUCUACCAGGUACUGAUGUUAGUACCUCUCUGUUCUGCACUCAUUGUUCAGCUCUUUAAUUUUUUAUAGGUAUAUAUCGACAAUUUGCUAAGGUGAAUAGCACAACAAAGGAUGUUGUAUUGGUGUGUUCUUCUAACCUACAGAUCGGAAUGUACUAAAUGAAAGUAUGGUGCAUUAUGUGGCAAUUCGGGAGCCAGGCAUCAAAAAGAAAGAAGGAUAACAGGUGGCCUGUGUGUUAUAUGAUUGUUUGCUUCCUACUUAGUUGGCAGUGAAUUUUGGUGGCAGGUCCUACCAUGGUGGCUUGGAUUACCUAUGCCUUUCCUGUGGAGCUUUAAUUUGGUGCUCUGAGAGGAUUGGACGGGGUUCUUCUUGUGGCUGUCUUGUUGUUUUUGCAUAGGCCUCUCUCUCUCAGAAUAUAAUGCAGUGAGUGUUGUAACAGGGGAAAGUAAACAAGCAUUGGAGUGAGAAGAUACCGGAAUUGGCCACGAUAAAGAGAAUCUGUCUGCAAUAAAGAUUGCAGAGGUGUUUCAGGUGGCAGAUAUAAUUUGCUUGUCUCAAAUUGAGUGUUCGGAAGUGAAACUUUGACUUGGAUGACUGAAAAAGUGACAACUUUGCCUAAUUUGUUUGUUUUGAAUUUAGUUUUUUAGAUACUUCUUUUCUAUGUUCAAGUAUUUAGGAUCUUCCAAACAACUGCAUGAGAACCAAAGUUGUUUUUUUGGUAGCGAACAGAUCAGUUGUAGAAAUUUUAUGUUUCUCGAAUUUUCGGAUUUAAGCUUCCAAAAAUCUUGCCUGUCUUAUUGUGCUUCUCUGUAUGCAUACGCAGCCAUCAACUUGCAGGGCUUGGUGUCUGUCUCUUUUGUAUUUAUUUUUUUCUAAACAUGGUGCUUUUCACUGAAGUGUAUAAAGUAUUCAAUAUUCCAGGCUA